UAAAACUCCCUCUCAAAACAAACAAACAAACCAAAAAAACAAAUAGCAACAGCAACCACAAUCAUCAUCACCAUCAAGGCUGGAACAAGGAUGAGGCAGGCAGGCUCUGAUAGCAACAGGAGGAAGCAGACCAAGGAGGGAGAGAAAGGAAGGCAGAGAAGGGGAAAAAAAAACACAAAUGAUAAUAAUAGAUGCUGACAUUUACGGAGCACUUACUAUGUGCUGGGAACCAUGCUGACGGCACACCGAAUCCACUGAACAGAUCUCUUUGGGUUUUGGAAUAACAAAAAAGGGACUGUACAUGGAUAUUUCCAAGCUGGAACCGAGGCACUUUCUAGACGAAGGCAGCCUUAUCCCCAGGAGAUGAUUGAAAAUGUAAGAACUAUUCUGAGCCUGCAGGCCAUAGCCAAAGAGGACCUACUGUUAAGUUUUCAAGACCACCCAGAAAGAAAUUUGAAGUUGGGUUUAUAUCCUUAAUCCCUCAGUUAGAAAAAAAAGAAAAGUGAAGAAACUGCAUCUCCAAGAUCCUGCUAUAUCAACUUCAGUUUUUUGAAGUUAAAUUUGAUUUUUAAAUCCCUUGGCUGAUGAGACCUGUGUGGGUUUUUUUUUGUUGUUUUUUUGUUUUGUUUUGUUUUGUUUUAUCAUUGUACCUCUAUUUUAAAAAUAGAGACUUGUGGUUCUUUUUCCAAAAGCAGUCCAACAGAAAGUGAAUGGUGGUCAAUGCAUAAUAAAAUGAGAGUUACCUUUUGA
Molecule: long non-coding RNA, 750 nt
Filed under: Homo sapiens (human)
Lineage: Eukaryota; Metazoa; Chordata; Mammalia; Primates; Hominidae
Description: HSALNT0387034
Source: RNAcentral